ACGGGAGGCAGCAGUGGGGAAUAUUGGACAAUGGGCGCAAGCCUGAUCCAGCGACGCCGCGUGAGUGAAGAAGUAUUUCGGUAUGUAAAGCUCUAUCAGCAGGGAAGAUAAUGACGGUACCUGACUAAGAAGCCCCGGCUAACUACGUGCCAGCAGCCGCGGUAAUACGUAGGGGGCAAGCGUUAUCCGGAUUUACUGGGUGUAAAGGGUGCGUAGACGGCUUAGUAAGUCAGAAGUGAAAUCCCGGGGCUUAACCCCGGUGCUGCUUUUGAAACUAUUGAGCUAGAGUGCUGGAGGGGCAAGCGGAAUUCCUGGUGUAGCGGUGAAAUGCGUAGAUAUCAGGAGGAACACCGGUGGCGAAGGCGGCUUGCUGGACAGUAACUGACGUUGAGGCACGAAAGCGUGGGGAGCAAACAGGAUUAGAUACCCUGGUA
RNAcentral lists this ribosomal RNA (434 nucleotides) under uncultured Lachnospiraceae bacterium. RNAcentral's name for it is "partial 16S ribosomal RNA". It matches the Rfam family "Bacterial small subunit ribosomal RNA", at positions 341 to 792 of the family's 1533-position model. The record is from RNAcentral. Lineage: Bacteria; Bacillati; Bacillota; Clostridia; Lachnospirales; Lachnospiraceae.